Molecule: non-coding RNA, 235 nt
Organism: Brachypodium distachyon (stiff brome)
Lineage: Eukaryota; Viridiplantae; Streptophyta; Magnoliopsida; Poales; Poaceae
Source: Rfam
AAAGUUCAAUUUUGAAACAACUAUCUUGGCCUUCUCUUCUGUCUGCUAGACCAACACAUUGAUCUCCUAUUGGUAACCCCAACAAUCCUUCAUCUGUAUAUGCAAUUAUACGAUAGCUAGUUUUUUGGUUAUUUGCCUAUAUAAUUGAAAGAAUGUUGGGGCUGCCGAUGAAAUCAGUCUGUAGGUCCAGCCAUCACACAAGAGGGCCAAGGUAGUUGUUUCACAGUUGCACCUU